CGUGCCUGCCACCAGCUGCACCAGGAGGGCAAGUUCGUGGAGCUUGGCCUCUCCAACUAUGCAGCCUGGGAAGUGGCCGAGAUCUGUACCCUCUGCAAGAGCAACGGCUGGAUCCUGCCCACUGUGUACCAGGGGGCCUGCUGACCGGCAAGUACAAGUAUGAGGACAAGAAUGGGAAACAGCCCGUGGGCCGCUUCUUUGGGAAUACCUGGGCAGAGAUGUACAGGAAUCGCUACUGGAAGGAGCACCACUUUGAGGGCAUUGCCCUGGUGGAGAAGGCCCUGCAGGCCGCGUAUGGCGCCAGCGCCCCCAGCAUGACCUCGGCCACCCUCCGGUGGAU
This 340-nucleotide long non-coding RNA is filed under the name Homo sapiens (human). RNAcentral describes it as "HSALNT0002599". Lineage: Eukaryota; Metazoa; Chordata; Mammalia; Primates; Hominidae. The record is from RNAcentral.